AAUGAACGCUGGUGGCAGGCUUAACACAUGCAAGUCGAGCGAGAACGGCACUUCGGUGCUUAUUAGAGCGGCAAACGGGUGAGUAACACGUGGGAAUUUACCAUUCAGUAAGGGAUAACAGUUGGAAACGACUGCUAAUACUUUAUACGCUCUACGGAGGAAAGAUUUAUCGCUGAAUGAUAAGCCCGCGGCGGAUUAGCUAGUUGGUGAGGUAAUGGCUCACCAAGGCAACGAUCUGUAGCUGGUUUGAGAGGAUGAUCAGCCACACUGGAACUGAGACACGGUCCAGACUCCUACGGGAGGCAGCAGUGAGGAAUAUUGCGCAAUGGAGGAAACUCUGACGCAGCCAUGCCACGUGACUGAAGAAGGCCUUAGGGUUGUAAAAGUCUUUUAGAUGGGAAGAUUAUGACGGUACCAUCAGAAAAAGCUCCGGCUAACUUCG
RNAcentral lists this ribosomal RNA (442 nucleotides) under uncultured Pseudomonadota bacterium. Its description in RNAcentral is "bacterial SSU rRNA". It matches the Rfam family "Bacterial small subunit ribosomal RNA", at positions 29 to 505 of the family's 1533-position model. The record is from RNAcentral. Lineage: Bacteria; Pseudomonadati; Pseudomonadota.